GGGCCCGUGGCACAGUGGAUAAUGCACCGGCCUCCGGAGCCGGAGAUCGCGGGUUCGAAUCCUGCCGGGCCCGCCA
This 76-nucleotide transfer RNA is filed under the name Candidatus Bathyarchaeota archaeon. RNAcentral's name for it is "tRNA-Arg". It matches the Rfam family "tRNA". Rfam says of the family: Transfer RNA (tRNA) molecules are approximately 80 nucleotides in length. Lineage: Archaea; Thermoproteati; Candidatus Bathyarchaeota. The record is from RNAcentral.